CACGUAGGGCGCAAGCGUUGUCCGGAAUUAUUGGGCGUAAAGAGCUCGUAGGCGGGCUGUUGCGUCCGCUGUGAAAACUCGGGGCUUAACCCCGAGCCUGCAGUGGAUACGGGCAGACUAGAGGUAGGUAGGGGAGAAUGGAAUUCCCGGUGUAGCGGUGAAAUGCGCAGAUAUCGGGAGGAACACCGGUGGCGAAGGCGGUUCUCUGGGCCUUACCUGACGCUGAGGAGCGAAAGCGUGGGGAGCGAACAGG
Molecule: ribosomal RNA, 253 nt
Filed under: uncultured bacterium
Lineage: Bacteria
Description: partial 16S ribosomal RNA
Rfam family: Bacterial small subunit ribosomal RNA
Source: RNAcentral